RNAcentral lists this ribosomal RNA (702 nucleotides) under uncultured bacterium. Its description in RNAcentral is "bacterial SSU rRNA". It matches the Rfam family "Bacterial small subunit ribosomal RNA", at positions 798 to 1498 of the family's 1533-position model. The record is from RNAcentral.
CGCCGUAAACGAUGAAUACUAGGUGUCGGGGGUCGAACCUCGGUGCCGCAGCUAACGCAUUAAGUAUUCCGCCUGGGGAGUACGGUCGCAAGACUGAAACUCAAAGGAAUUGACGGGGACCCGCACAAGCAGCGGAGCAUGUGGUUUAAUUCGAAGCAACGCGAAGAACCUUACCAAGUCUUGACAUCCUCUUGACCAUCGUUUAAUCAUGAUUUUCUCUUCGGAGACAGGAGUGACAGGUGGUGCAUGGUUGUCGUCAGCUCGUGUCGUGAGAUGUUGGGUUAAGUCCCGCAACGAGCGCAACCCUUGUCUUUAGUUGUCAUCAAGUAAUGUUGGACCCUCUAAAGAGACUGCCGGUGAUAAACCGGAGGAAGGUGGGGAUGACGUCAAAUCAUCAUGCCCCUUAUGAUUUGGGCUACACACGUGCUACAAUGGUCGGUACAACAGGCAGCGAAAGGGUAACCUGGAGCGAAUCCUCUAAAGCCGAUCUCAGUUCGGAUUGUGGGCUGCAACUCGCCCACAUGAAGUUGGAGUUGCUAGUAAUCGUGAAUCAGAAUGUCGCGGUGAAUGCGUUCCCGGGUCUUGUACACACCGCCCGUCACACCAUGGAAGUUGGGGGCGCCCGAAGCCAGUGAUCCAACCCGUAAGGGAGGAAGCAGUAUAAGGAAACAGCUAUGACUAGGGUGAAGUCGUAACAAGGUA